This 497-nucleotide ribosomal RNA is filed under the name uncultured bacterium. RNAcentral describes it as "partial 16S ribosomal RNA". It matches the Rfam family "Bacterial small subunit ribosomal RNA", at positions 28 to 507 of the family's 1533-position model. The record is from RNAcentral.
GAUGAACGCUGGCGGCGUGCCUAAUACAUGCAAGUCGAGCGAACAGACGAGGAGUUUGCUUCUUUGACGUUAGCGGCGGACGGGUGAGUAACACGUGCAUUACCUACCUCUAAGACUGGUAUAACCAUGGGAAACCGGAGCUAAUACCGUAUAAUAUCUUAAACCGUAUUGUUCAACAGUUAAAGACCAUUUUCAUGUCCUUUAUCGCUUGAUCCGCGCUUGAUUAGCUAGUUGGUCAGGUAACUGCCUACCAAGGCAACGAUGCGUAGCCGACCUGACAGGGUGAUCGGCCACACUGGAACGGAAACACGGACCAGACUCCUACGGAAGGCAGCAGUAGGUAAUGUUCCGCAAGAGGCGGAAGCAUGACGGAGCAACGGCGCGUGAGAGAUGAAGAUCAUCGGAUAGUAAAACUCUGUUAUUAGGGAAGAACACAUGUGUAAGUAACUAUGCACGACUUGACGGUACCUAAUCAGAAAGCCACGGCUAACUACGUG